This 30-nucleotide non-coding RNA is filed under the name Rattus norvegicus (Norway rat). The record is from RNAcentral. Lineage: Eukaryota; Metazoa; Chordata; Mammalia; Rodentia; Muridae.
UCUGUGUUUUGAAGGGUGUUAUUGUCAGUC